RNAcentral lists this ribosomal RNA (464 nucleotides) under uncultured bacterium. RNAcentral's name for it is "SSU rRNA". It matches the Rfam family "Bacterial small subunit ribosomal RNA", at positions 26 to 518 of the family's 1533-position model. The record is from RNAcentral.
AGAACGAACGCUGGCGGCAUGCCUAACACAUGCAGGUCGAACGCUCUUGAGGCUUCGGUUUCAAGGGAGUGGCGCACGGGUGAGUAGCGCGUGGGAACCUGCCCUGUUGUGGGGGAUAACCGAGGGAAACUUCGGCUAAUACCGCAUGCGCCCCGGAGCAAUCCGGGGGAAAGAUUUAUCGCAGCAGGAGGGGCCCGCGUCGGAUUAGGUAGUUGGUAGGGUAACGGCCUACCAAGCCUUUGAUCCGUAGCUGGUCUGAGAGGAUGAUCAGCCACACUGGGACUGAGACACGGCCCAGACUCCUACGGGAGGCAGCAGUGGGGAAUAUUGGACAAUGGGCGCAAGCCUGAUCCAGCAAUGCCGCGUGAGUGAUGAAGGCCUUAGGGUUGUAAAGCUCUUUCGCCCGCGACGAUGAUGACGGUAGCGGGAGAAGAAGCCCCGGCUAACUUCGUGCCAGCAGCCGC